AGUGAACGCUGGCGGUAGGCCUAACACAUGCAAGUCGAACGGCAGCACAGUAAGAGCUUGCUCUUACGGGUGGCGAGUGGCGGACGGGUGAGGAAUACAUCGGAAUCUACUUUUUCGUGGGGGAUAACGUAGGGAAACUUACGCUAAUACCGCAUACGACCUACGGGUGAAAGCAGGGGAUCUUCGGAACUUGCGCGAUUGAAUGAGCCGAUGUGGGAUUAGCUAGUUGGCGGGGUAAAGGCCCACCAAGGCGACGAUCCGUAGCUGGUCUGAGAGGAUGAUCAGCCAGACUGGAACUGGAACACGGUCCAGACUCCAACGGGAGGAGGCGGUGGGGAAUAUUGGACAAUGGGCGCAAGCCUGCUCCAGCCAUACCGGGUGGGGGAAGAAGGCCUUGGGGUGGUAAAGUCCUUUUGUUGGGAAAGAAAAGCAGCAGGUUGAUACCCCGCUGUUCUGACGGUACCCAAAGAAUAAGCACCGGCUAACUUCGUG
RNAcentral lists this ribosomal RNA (492 nucleotides) under uncultured bacterium. RNAcentral describes it as "partial 16S ribosomal RNA". It matches the Rfam family "Bacterial small subunit ribosomal RNA", at positions 29 to 507 of the family's 1533-position model. The record is from RNAcentral.